This 588-nucleotide ribosomal RNA is filed under the name Trichuris trichiura (human whipworm). RNAcentral describes it as "12S ribosomal RNA". Lineage: Eukaryota; Metazoa; Nematoda; Enoplea; Trichinellida; Trichuridae. The record is from RNAcentral.
GGUAAAUUAAUGUGCCAGCUACCGCGGUUAUACAUUAGCUARCCAAUUUCUAUUCUAUUGUUUUUGAAUAYCUUCAAAUUGAACUAUUAUACAUUUGYUUAGUGAAAUCCAUCCAUUUGUUAAUAUAUGCYUAUUCAACAAAUAAAUUUAGCAGUAAAACUAGGAUUAGAUACCCUAUUAUUCUAAAUUUUAAAAAUUAAGAAGUAAAAURAACCCCRAACUUAAUUAGGACGGCGGUAGAAUUUUAUUAGAGGAGGUUGUUCUUUAAUCGAUAGCCCUCGUUUAUUCCUUUUUCUUCAUUAUGUAUAUCGCCGUUGAAAUUCAACUUAAGAUUGAAUUAAUUUAUUUAUAAUUAUAAGUCAACAGGUCUAGAUACAAAUAAUGUAAAAGUAUGAAAUGACCUACAAAAUACAAAUAACUUUAAUGGUAAUUAAUGUACARUCAUUACAAACGGUUACCAAAGGAUUUAAAAGUAAUGUUAAUUAAUUAUUAUAGCAUAAUGAACCAUGCCUAUUCUAUGCACAUAUCGCCCGUCACCCUCCUUGGAGGUAAGUCGUAACAAAGUAGAUUCUUCGGAAGAAGAAUCUA